AUUGAACGCUGGCGGCAGGCCUAACACAUGCAAGUCGAGCGGAUGACGGGAGCUUGCUCCUUGAUUCAGCGGCGGACGGGUGAGUAAUGCCUAGGAAUCUGCCUGGUAGUGGGGGACAACGUUUCGAAAGGAACGCUAAUACCGCAUACGUCCUACGGGAGAAAGCAGGGGACCUUCGGGCCUUGCGCUAUCAGAUGAGCCUAGGUCGGAUUAGCUAGUUGGUGGGGUAAUGGCUCACCAAGGCGACGAUCCGUAACUGGUCUGAGAGGAUGAUCAGUAACACUGGAACUGAGACUCGGUCCAGACUCCUACGGGAGGCAGCAGUGGGGAAUAUUGGACAAUGGGCGAAAGCCUGAUCCAGCCAUGCCGCGUGUGUGAAGAAGGUCUUCGGAUUGUAAAGCACUUUAAGUUGGGAGGAAGGGCAGUAAGUUAAUACCUUGCUGUUUUGACGUUACCGACAGAAUAAGCACCGGCUAACUCUGUGCCAGCAGCCGCAGUAA
This 500-nucleotide ribosomal RNA is filed under the name uncultured bacterium. RNAcentral's name for it is "partial 16S ribosomal RNA". It matches the Rfam family "Bacterial small subunit ribosomal RNA", at positions 30 to 523 of the family's 1533-position model. The record is from RNAcentral.